UACGGAGGAUGCGAGCGUUAUCCGGAUUUAUUGGGUUUAAAGGGUGCGUAGGCGGGAUGCCAAGUCAGCGGUAAAAAUGCGGUGCUCAACGCCGUCGAGCCGUUGAAACUGGCGUUCUUGAGUGGGCGAGAAGUAUGCGGAAUGCGUGGUGUAGCGGUGAAAUGCAUAGAUAUCACGCAGAACUCCGAUUGCGAAGGCAGCAUACCGGCGCCCUACUGACGCUGAGGCACGAAAGCGUGGGUAUCAAACAGG
RNAcentral lists this ribosomal RNA (252 nucleotides) under uncultured bacterium. RNAcentral's name for it is "partial 16S ribosomal RNA". It matches the Rfam family "Bacterial small subunit ribosomal RNA", at positions 524 to 776 of the family's 1533-position model. The record is from RNAcentral.